UACGUAGGUGGCGAGCGUUGUCCGGAAUUACUGGGCGUAAAGCGUGCGCAGGCGGUUUGUUAAGUCCGCUGUGAAAUCCCCGAGCUCAACUUGGGAAUUGCAGUGGAUACUGGCAAGCUGGAGUAUGGUAGAGGAAGGUGGAAUUCCCGGUGUAGCAGUGAAAUGCGUAGAGAUCGGGAGGAACACCAGUGGCGAAGGCGGCCUUCUGGACCAAUACUGACGCUCAUGCACGAAAGCGUGGGGAGCAAACAGG
RNAcentral lists this ribosomal RNA (253 nucleotides) under uncultured bacterium. Its description in RNAcentral is "partial 16S ribosomal RNA". It matches the Rfam family "Bacterial small subunit ribosomal RNA", at positions 524 to 776 of the family's 1533-position model. The record is from RNAcentral.